UAGGCGGCGGAAGAUAACCCAAAAGGGAUUCCUUCAGUAAUGGCGAAUGAACGGGGAAAAGCUCAGCAAAGAAAUCAGGGACCCCGGCCUUGAGUUGUGGACUUGAGAGGUAUUGCCAAUGGUGGCGCAGGUGCGGGCCUCUUGGAAAAGGGCACCACAGAGGGUGUGAGUCCUGUUUGUCAUCUGUAGUCCGCCAUGUACGGCAUGACUCCUCAGAGUCACGUUCCUUGGAAUUGGAGCGCGAAGGUGGUGGUGGCUUUCAUCUCAAGCUAAGUAUGGGUUCGAGACCGAUAGCAAACAAGUACCAUGAGGGAAGAUUGAAAAGAGCUUUGGAAAGAGAGUUAAAAGUGCCCGAACUUGCUGAUAGGGAAGCGAAGGGAGCUGACGUUGCUUGGUGACAUAUUCCGCGCAAGAGUAGGAUGGGUUCUGAUUGCAAUCUGCGUAGUGCUUCUUGCCGUGCGUGUCGAUGCCAAGCAAUGAGUGGGGAGAGCACCAGGGAUAAUGAUUGUUUCUGUCCCCGGGUGGCCGAAGGUGCCUGGUCGCAUCCAUUUGUGGGCUGAAACAAAUGGUGGCUGGUUGCAGCGCCCUGUGCCUGCUAGGCAGUUGGGGUGUAGCCCUGAUACGCAGACGAGACAAAGUGCUUCUGUUCGACCCGUCUUGAAACACGGACCAAGGAGUCUGACACUCAUGCAAGCUCGCCGGUGGGUAAACUUGUUGGCGUAAUUAAGGUGUCUGUUGUGAUUUUUGUGCACCAACGCCCGACCAAUCAAUCGAGAGAGGUUUGAGUGUGAGCAUUUCUGUCAGGACCCGAAAGAUGGUGAACUAUGCUUGAGAAGGGUAAGUUCAGGGGAAACUCUGAUUGAGGCUCGUAGCGAUACUGACGUGCAAAUCGUUCGUCAUACUUGGGUAUAGGGGCGAAAGACUAAUCGAACCAUCUAGUAGCUGGUUCCCUCCGAAGUUUCCCUCAGGAUAGCUGGAGUUGAACAGUUUUAUCAGGUAAAGCGAAUGAUUGGAGGAAUCGGGGGCGCGGCGCCCUCGACCUAUUCUCAAACUUUAAAUCGGUAAGAUCCAGUAGUUACUUAGGUGAACUUCUGGGAUCAAUGACGACUCCAAGUGGGCCAUUUUUGGUAAGCAGAACUGGCGAUGAGGGAUGAACCUGACGUUGGGUUAAGGUGCUCAAGUGCUCGCUCAUUAGACACCAUGAAGGGUGUUGGUUCAUUUUAACAGCAGGACGGUGGUCAUGGAAGUCGAAAUCCGCUAAGGAGUGUGUAACAACUCACCUGCCGAAUGGACUAGCCCCGAAAAUGGAUGGCGCUGAAGCGGGUGACUGAUACUCAACCAUGGCUGCACAUGCGCAGCAG
RNAcentral lists this ribosomal RNA (1361 nucleotides) under Prorocentrum hoffmannianum. RNAcentral describes it as "LSU rRNA". It matches the Rfam family "Eukaryotic large subunit ribosomal RNA", at positions 47 to 1374 of the family's 3401-position model. Lineage: Eukaryota; Dinophyceae; Prorocentrales; Prorocentraceae. The record is from RNAcentral.